RNAcentral lists this transfer RNA (67 nucleotides) under Rugitermes sp. RNAcentral's name for it is "tRNA-Tyr". The record is from RNAcentral. Lineage: Eukaryota; Metazoa; Arthropoda; Insecta; Blattodea; Kalotermitidae.
AGUAGAGUGGCUGAGGUUAGUAAGGUGGUAGAUUGUAAAUCUAUUAAGGGGAUAUACCCCUCUACUA